Non-coding RNA from Lupinus albus (white lupine), 398 nucleotides. The record is from the annotation of a GenBank genome assembly. NCBI's taxonomy places the organism in Eukaryota, Viridiplantae, Streptophyta, Magnoliopsida, Fabales, Fabaceae.
AUGAUGCUUUCUGAUUAUGGGUCUUGGUCUAAUGAGUCUUGGAGUUGGUGUGUCAUUUGGAGGAGACCGCUUUUGACUUGAGAGGAGGAUUCAAUGCUCAGUUGUAUGAUUUGAUCAAUCACCAUCAUUACAGACGAGAUGUUCCUCACAAAUGGAUGUGGGUUUUAGAUACUUUUGGAACUUAUAUUGUUAAAUCAGCUUAUUUGGCUCAUGUGGAUACGGGUCAAUUAGGACAAUCUUCUUAACAAGUGCUAGAGAGAUCAUGCCACAAAGGAGGAACUCCUUAAAAGGAAUGUUGUCAAUGAAGAAGAGUCUAAGUGUAUUUUUGCAGGGUUCAUCUUGAGUAGUUGAUCAUCCUCUUGUGUAUUAGUCUGAAAAUGUUUUUAUUUUCGGCUUAA